RNAcentral lists this ribosomal RNA (465 nucleotides) under uncultured bacterium. RNAcentral's name for it is "partial 16S ribosomal RNA". It matches the Rfam family "Bacterial small subunit ribosomal RNA", at positions 28 to 507 of the family's 1533-position model. The record is from RNAcentral.
GACGAACGCUGGCGGCGUGCUUAACACAUGCAAGUCGAACGGAAAGGCCCUGCUUGCAGGGUACUCGAGUGGCGAACGGGUGAGUAACACGUGGGUGAUCUGCCCUGCACUUCGGGAUAAGCUUGGGAAACUGGGUCUAAUACCGGAUAGGAACCAUCUUUAGUGUGGUGGUUGGAAAGUUUUUUCGGUGUAGGAUGAGCUCGCGGCCUAUCAGCUUGUUGGUGGGGUAAUGGCCUACCAAGGCGGCGACGGGUAGCCGGCCUGAGAGGGUGUACGGCCACAUUGGGACUGAGAUACGGCCCAGACUCCUACGGGAGGCAGCAGUGGGGAAUAUUGCACAAUGGGCGCAAGCCUGAUGCAGAGACGCCGCGUGGGGGAUGAAGGCCUUCGGGUUGUAAACUCCUUUCGCUAGGGACGAAGCUUUUUGUGACGGUACCUAGAUAAGAAGCACCGGCUAACUACGUG